Molecule: ribosomal RNA, 120 nt
Filed under: Propithecus coquereli (Coquerel's sifaka)
Lineage: Eukaryota; Metazoa; Chordata; Mammalia; Primates; Indriidae
Source: RNAcentral
UAGCAAUCUAUUUCUACUCUGAACAUGCUUGAUCGCAUCUGAUCUCCAAAGCUAAGCAGGAUCAGGCCUGGUUAGUAUUUGGAUGGGAGAAAUCUACUUCUAGAGGCUGGAAAGUGCAAG